This 460-nucleotide ribosomal RNA is filed under the name uncultured bacterium. RNAcentral describes it as "partial 16S ribosomal RNA". It matches the Rfam family "Bacterial small subunit ribosomal RNA", at positions 338 to 795 of the family's 1533-position model. The record is from RNAcentral.
CCUACGGGAGGCUGCAGUGAGGAAUAUUGGUCAAUGGACGAGAGUCUGAACCAGCCAAGUAGCGUGAAGGAUGACUGCCCUAUGGGUUGUAAACUUCUUUUAUAUGGGAAUAAAAUGUUCCACGUGUGGGAUUUUGUAUGUACCAUAUGAAUAAGGAUCGGCUAACUCCGUGCCAGCAGCCGCGGUAAUACGGAGGAUCCGAGCGUUAUCCGGAUUUAUUGGGUUUAAAGGGAGCGUAGGUGGAUUGUUAAGUCAGUUGUGAAAGUUUGCGGCUCAACCGUAAAAUUGCAGUUGAAACUGGCAGUCUUGAGGACAGUAGAGGUGGGCGGAAUGCGUGGUGUAGCGGUGAAAUGCUUAGAUAUCACGAAGAACGCCGAUUGCGAAGGCAGUUCACUGGACUGCAACUGACACUGAGGCUCGAAAGUGUGGGUAUCAAACAGGAUUAGAUACCCUUGUAGUC